GUGUGUGUCAGGGUGGUUAAUAGUGUGUCACAAAAAUUUAAUAGGGUAUGAGAAGGAGAAUAAGCUUACUGUGUGUCUAAGAGGAGUGUGCAAACGUUUUGCAGGCUGCGUGUAAUAAAGUCUGAUGGAAGUGUAAGUCAGUUUUAAUGAAAAUGUAUGUAUGGAAAAUAAGCCAAUGUUUUACCUUUGAACAAAAUCAAGGGUGCUUGCAGUCUCUUCCUAUAUUGGAGGUUGAAAUUAUAACGUGUGGACAAAUAAAAAAUACAGGUCAAUAACAUGUGCUUGACAAAUCUGAUGUACGUGACAGAAAGCAUGUUCUAUGGGGUGUGUGGUAGGAGUCAUGCAGACCCUGCAUGCUUACAGUGUAC
Long non-coding RNA from Polypterus senegalus (gray bichir), 368 nucleotides. RefSeq lists it as uncharacterized. NCBI's taxonomy places the organism in Eukaryota, Metazoa, Chordata, Cladistia, Polypteriformes, Polypteridae. The record is from RefSeq and is a predicted model, not a curated record. The transcript has 2 exons.